UACGGAGGUGGCAAGCGUUGUUCGGAAUUACUGGGCGUAAAGGGCUCGUAGGCGGCCAACUAAGUCGGAUGUGAAAUCCCCAGGCUUAACCUGGGAACUGCAUCCGAUACUGGAUGGCUUGAAUCCGGGAGAGGGAUGCAGAAUUCCAGGUGUAGCGGUGAAAUGCGUAGAUAUCUGGAGGAAUACCGGUGGCGAAGGCGGCAUCCUGGACCGGCAUUGACGCUGAUGAGCGAAAGCUAGGGGAGCAAACGGG
Molecule: ribosomal RNA, 253 nt
Filed under: uncultured bacterium
Lineage: Bacteria
Description: partial 16S ribosomal RNA
Rfam family: Bacterial small subunit ribosomal RNA
Source: RNAcentral